This 393-nucleotide ribosomal RNA is filed under the name uncultured Actinomycetes bacterium. Its description in RNAcentral is "bacterial SSU rRNA". It matches the Rfam family "Bacterial small subunit ribosomal RNA", at positions 975 to 1368 of the family's 1533-position model. Lineage: Bacteria; Bacillati; Actinomycetota; Actinomycetes. The record is from RNAcentral.
CUUGGUUUGACAUAUACCGGAAAGCCGUAGAGAUACGGCCCCCCUUGUGGUCGGUAUACAGGUGGUGCAUGGCUGUCGUCAGCUCGUGUCGUGAGAUGUUGGGUUAAGUCCCGCAACGAGCGCAACCCUUGUCUUAUGUUGCCAGCACGUAAUGGUGGGGACUCGUAAGAGACUGCCGGGGUCAACUCGGAGGAAGGUGGGGACGACGUCAAGUCAUCAUGCCCCUUAUGUCCAGGGCUUCACACAUGCUACAAUGGCCAGUACAGAGGGCUGCGAGACCGUGAGGUGGAGCGAAUCCCUUAAAGCUGAUCUCAGUUCGGAUCGGGGUCUGCAACUCGACCCCGUGAAGUCGGAGUCGCUAGUAAUCGCAGAUCAGCGACGCUGCGGUGAAUA